Pantherophis guttatus is the source of this 339-nucleotide long non-coding RNA. RefSeq lists it as uncharacterized. Lineage: Eukaryota; Metazoa; Chordata; Lepidosauria; Squamata; Colubridae. The record is from RefSeq and is a predicted model, not a curated record.
UCUCUCUGAAGCAGGCAGCAGUAAAGGAAGAAAGCCCAGUUAGUCUUCUUCAGGCAAAUAACAUCAGCACAGAGACACGUCAUUUGAAGGAUGCAGCUUAAUUUCUGACAGGAACCUUGGCCAUCUUGACUGAAGUAAUAAUUUGAGUAUUUCUGCAGCUAAAAAUGAGAAAGCUCUGGAAGAAAUUGCUGAAAUGUGCCUGUCUCCUAGAAUUUAUGGUGAUUACGGUGAUCUGCCAAGAAACAUACAGGCUAAUGGAAUUAAAGGCUUGGAGAGAGCCCAACAAUUCUGGAAGAUGAUUUAUUACAGAAUGAAACAAAUAUUAAAGAUCAAAUUCUU